GAUGAACGCUAGCUACAGGCUUAACACAUGCAAGUCGAGGGGCAGCAGGGAGAUAGCUUGCUAUCUUUGCUGGCGACCGGCGCACGGGUGAGUAACGCGUAUCCAACCUUCCCCUUACUAAGGAAUAGCCCGGCGAAAACUGGAUUAAUCCCUGAUGGUCUCCUUUGCGGACAUCUGACGAGGAGUAAAGAUUCAUCGGUGGUGGAUGGGGAUGCGUCCGAUUAGCUAUGUUGGCGGGGUAACGGCCCACCAAGGCAACGAUCGGUAGGGGUUCUGAGAGGAAGGUCCCCCACAUUGGAACUGAGACACGGUCCAAACUCC
RNAcentral lists this ribosomal RNA (321 nucleotides) under uncultured Prevotella sp. Its description in RNAcentral is "bacterial SSU rRNA". It matches the Rfam family "Bacterial small subunit ribosomal RNA", at positions 28 to 339 of the family's 1533-position model. Lineage: Bacteria; Pseudomonadati; Bacteroidota; Bacteroidia; Bacteroidales; Prevotellaceae. The record is from RNAcentral.